GGGGACUCGCCUUUCCCACCAGAGCACCGCCAGGUGUGAAGGAUGGUUUAGCGUUUCUCUGGCUGUAUUUCACGGAUGCAAGACA
Long non-coding RNA from Leopardus geoffroyi (Geoffroy's cat), 85 nucleotides. RefSeq lists it as uncharacterized. Lineage: Eukaryota; Metazoa; Chordata; Mammalia; Carnivora; Felidae. The record is from RefSeq and is a predicted model, not a curated record. The transcript is spliced from 2 exons.